RNAcentral lists this small nuclear RNA (281 nucleotides) under Anolis carolinensis (green anole). Its description in RNAcentral is "7SK RNA". The stretch from base 1 to 175 matches the Rfam family "7SK RNA". Rfam says of the family: 7SK was discovered as an abundant small nuclear RNA in the mid-70s but a possible function has only recently been suggested. The record is from Rfam by way of RNAcentral. Lineage: Eukaryota; Metazoa; Chordata; Lepidosauria; Squamata; Anolidae.
UGAUAUACCACUCCAGGCUGCGACACCUGCCAUCCCAUUGAUCUCCAGGGUUGAUUCCGCUGAUGGGUGUCUCCUCCCUCCCUCACCACUCUAUGUGCGUUCCUCCCAAAGCUGUGCGCUCAGUGGAAGAGGACAAUGUCCCAGGUAUAGAAGGAUAAGCCAGUCUGAUAUCAUAUGCCAUCCAGUUUUAUUAUUGUUGUGAUGAGACAGAUAAGGCCAACUUUGAGCAAGAGUACCACAAAGACAGUCCUGGGGAACUUUCUGUGAGAUACAGUUCUCUG